Molecule: ribosomal RNA, 449 nt
Filed under: uncultured bacterium
Lineage: Bacteria
Description: partial 16S ribosomal RNA
Rfam family: Bacterial small subunit ribosomal RNA
Source: RNAcentral
AACGAACGCUGGCGGCAUGCCUAACACAUGCAAGUCGAACGAGAUCUUCGGGUCUAGUGGCGCACGGGUGCGUAACGCGUGGGAAUCUGCCCUUUGGUUCGGAAUAACAGUUGGAAACGACUGCUAAUACCGGAUGAUGACGAAAGUCCAAAGAUUUAUCGCCAGAGGAUGAGCCCGCGUAGGAUUAGCUAGUUGGUGUGGUAAAGGCGCACCAAGGCGACGAUCCUUAGCUGGUCUGAGAGGAUGAUCAGCCACACUGGGACUGAGACACGGCCCAGACUCCUGCGGGAGGCAGCAGUGGGGAAUAUUGGACAAUGGGCGAAAGCCUGAUCCAGCAAUGCCGCGUGAGUGAUGAAGGCCUUAGGGUUGUAAAGCUCUUUUACCCGGGAUGAUAAUGACAGUACCGGGAGAAUAGGCUCCGGCUAACUCCGUGCCAGCCGCCGCAGUAA